ACGGAAGGCAGCAGUAGGGAAUCUUCGGCAAUGGGGGCAACCCUGGCCGAGUAACGCCGCGUGAGUGAAGAAGGUUUUCGGAUCGUAAGGCUCUGUUGUAAGAGAAGAACGUGUGUGAGAGUGGAAAGUUCACACAGUGACGGUAACUUACCAGAAAGGGCCGGCUAACUACGUGCCAGCAGCCGCGGUAAUACGUAGGUCCCGAGCGUUGUCCGGAUUUAUUGGGCGUAAAGCGAGCGCAGGCGGUUUAAUAAGUCUGAAGUUAAAGGCAGUGGCUUAACCAUUGUUCGCUUUGGAAACUGUUAGACUUGAGUGCAGAAGGGGAGAGUGGAAUUCCAUGUGUAGCGGUGAAAUGCGUAGAUAUAUGGAGGAACACCGGUGGCGAAAGCGGCUCUCUGGUCUGUAACUGACGCUGAGGCUCGAAAGCGUGGGGAGCAAACAGGAUUAGAUACCCUGGUA
RNAcentral lists this ribosomal RNA (459 nucleotides) under uncultured Streptococcus sp. RNAcentral's name for it is "partial 16S ribosomal RNA". It matches the Rfam family "Bacterial small subunit ribosomal RNA", at positions 341 to 792 of the family's 1533-position model. The record is from RNAcentral. Lineage: Bacteria; Bacillati; Bacillota; Bacilli; Lactobacillales; Streptococcaceae.